CCUGCUCCAGACAACGUUAGUCUAUUGUUUAUUUCUUACUCAUUUUCUCUCUUUCUUCACCAUCUGUUCUGAUUGCUGUUGAAACAAACAGACUGUUUACUAAUGAAAUACUAGUAAGUAACAAUGUUACCAACAAUUAAUAUCCAAUCAUGUUUUACCUGGUUGACAGUGCAGGGCUUCUCUUUGUGUACUGGAUUGCCAAUUUUGUCGUGCCGGAGUUCAUCUUGAAGGAUCUCCAAUCUGACGAUACAAAUGAAGACCAAAAACCAAAUAAUGAUGAAUGAAGAAGGAAUCAAGCCCAUAAGCAGAUUAAGGCUCAAGAAAGAUAAACAGGAGCUUCUGCAGCAUCGAGCAAUAAAUUAUAUUGCCUGAAGUCCCAAGUUUUUUUUUCCCCCUGUUUCAUGUCGGACAUCAUCAUGACACUUAUGCUUUAUGAACUUUCUCACAAUACUUCUCUCUCUCUCUAUAUAUAUAUAGUAUAGCCAAACUGCAGCAUUUGAUAAUGUCAGACCAAUUAACAUAGAGGAGAUUUGGUAACAUACUAACUGGUCAUUCUUGCCAU
Molecule: long non-coding RNA, 562 nt
Filed under: Panax ginseng (ginseng)
Lineage: Eukaryota; Viridiplantae; Streptophyta; Magnoliopsida; Apiales; Araliaceae
Description: long non-coding RNA (PGIN_LNC016947)
Source: RNAcentral